AGGGAUACCCAGGCAAUCCCCGAAACUACAAUGCCCAAAAUGCUCCAAGUGGGACGCGCCCAGAGUGAAGGAGCAAAGGGGACUCGGCCGCCAUGUUAGGAGUACUGGGACGAUUCCGCGGAGCCGGGCAGAGGUUUUAGGGGAAUGAUUAACAAAGGUGUCCGAAGAAAUCGUUGUUGGAAGGUGGCCAAAGUGGAAAGAGACGUUGCUUUGGCCCUGCAAGUAAGAAGAAAAAAGGAAUAGCCUGAAGGAGUAACACUAAAUUUAAAAUGACACUUUUUUACCAACCAGCGAAAGCAGAUGUUCAAAGGGGAUAUUGGCCAGAGUCUGUCACACUAAGAUGAGAAAUGUCCUUUCUUCCUGAAGGUGUCUGAUGUGUAAAAAUACUGAUACACUUUGUGCUGUUUCCUCCCUUCCCUUUUGCACAUUUUUCUGAAACAACAUUAACUAGUUACUUUGCGUCAUUGAAGAACUCACUUUGAGGCCAAGCGUGGUUGCUCAGGCCUGUAAUCCCAGCACUUUGGGAGGCCGAGGCAGGUGGAUCACCUGAGGUCAGGAGUUGGAGACCAGCCUGGCCAACAUGACAAGCCCCGUCUCUACUAAAAAUACAAAAAUUAGCCUGGCAUGGUGGCACACACCUGUAAUUCCAGCUGCUCGGGAGGCUGAAGCAUGAGAAUCACUUGAACCUGAGAGGCAGAGGUUGCAGUGAGCCGAGGUUGCAGUGAAUCAAGAUCACACCACUGCACUCCAGCCUGGGCAACAGAGUGAGACUCCGUCUCAAGAAGAAGAAAAAGAAAAAAAACUCACUUUAAACUCUGCUAGACCAUUGUCUUUGUAUGUGAAAUUUUAUCUGGAUAGAAGAAGAUGAGGAAAAAAUUUUUCUUGUCUUUUAGUGGAGGAGAAUGACAUGUAAAACAAGUAUUCUUUAAAAAUUCCAAAUAUGAUAUGAGAACUACCCCAUAAAGUUGUGAAGGUCAAAUUGGUGAAAGGAAAACUAAGUGCUGUGUAAAUUACAAAGUUGUCUAAGUAUCCACCUGGUCCUUACCUUGCUAUAGAAUCUUUUUUUUUUUUAGAUGGAGUCUAGCUCUGUCGCCCAGUCUGGAGUGCAGUGGCGCAAGCUCCGCUUACUGCAAGCUCUGCCUCCUGGGUUCAUGCCAUUCUCCUGCCUCAACCUCCCGAGUAGCUGGGAUUACAGGUGCCCACCACCACACCCAGCUAAUUUUUUUUUUUUUUUUUUGUAUUUUUAGUAGAGACGGGGUUUUCCCAUGUUAGCCAGGAUGGUCUUGAUCUCCUGACCUCGUGAUCUGCCCGCCUCGGCCUCCCAAGGUGCUGGGAUUACAGGUGUGAGCCACCACGCCCGUCCUACCUUGCUAUAGAAUCUUUAGGCCUAAUAUAGUCUAGCCAGAACAGCUAUUUGGAUGCUUGCCUAAUCUUCAAUACUGGUUUCCCUUUUAUACAUGACUGGAAAACUGACUCUCACCUAGGUUUGUGAUGUUAGAAACUCCAGUUGUUUACUAUUAUUAUUAAAGUGGGAAACAGGGAGUUCGUUGAUCAAAUGGAUUAAUGUUUUGAGUACUUACUAUGCACCAGGGGCUCUUAAAUUUUUACAUAAACUUUCUGGAUGGAGAGUGAUAGAAUCUCCAUUGUUCACUUGCCACAAGCCACACCAUUUGUAGCUAACAUUUGAAUGCUUACUAUGAGCAAAGGCACUGUUCCAAGGGCAUUACAUGCACAUCAUUCAUAUUUCUCAUUUAAUCUUUAUAACAACUCCUUAAAAUACUGGUAAUAUUCUUGUUCCCUAAUUUGUCAAUAAGAAAACUGAAAUUUAGAGAUUAUACAAUUUGCCCAGCACUAUUGGAAAGCUGGGACUUUGAACCCUGGCUGAUUUGACUCCAAAGUCUGCACUCUAUUCCAAUAGACUGCCAGUGCCUCCAGAAUUAAUUAGCAUUAAUCUUUUCUGUUGUUUAUGAUCUAAGUAUGGCUGUCCAUGGCAGGGAGUUAAUGCGGGAGGCAUUAAUGGGGAAACACUGGACCACUUCUGAGAGAUGUGGUGCCCUCCCUCACAAACAGGUUUCUUGUGGUGAAAUCAGGUUGGAAGGAUAAGAGAGGCUGAAGAAGGUGGAGGUGGUGCAGUUGGGCCUGUUUAGGAACUGAUUACAUCUGAGCCUCUGGCCCUUUUUCCUGCCAGCUGACUCAGAGCUGGCAGAUGGGCCAAAGUCCAGGCAGGUUGAUUUCAUGGGCUGUAUACUUCAAAGGAUCUGAUUCCUGGUGCUACUAAGCACAUUGCUUUUCCGAAGGCACAGUAUUGUGGGGGAGGGAACAGUAUGGUCUCCAUGAGGUGUUUGUGAAAGCCCUAGGCAAUGUUUGCUCUAAUCCAAAUAUAUACAGCUUGUUUUGAGUUUGGCAAUAAAACACAGAGCCAGCCCUAAGCAGGGCUGAAAACUGAGUAUUUAAACCUUAAGUAUUCUGCAACACAACAACAGUUAAGUAUAUGGGUCCUAGAGUCAGAUAGAACUGAAAUCUAAUCUUGACUUCACCACUCAGCUGUAGAUAAAUUACUAGACCUCAGUUUUCUUGUUCGUGAAAUAGGGAUUUUAGUUAUAGAGUACCUACUUCAUAUGGUUGUCAUGAGGAUUAAACAAAAAUGUAUACCACAGUACCUGAGAUGUAGUAAACACUCUUGAAACAUUAGUCAUUAUUCAUUUUUUAAAUUUUUCCUUCAAAUACUUUCCUAUCCAAUAGUCAUUAUUCAUUGAAAACUUCUAUUUUAUAAGAUGAUCUCAGCACUUAAACAAAAUAAAUUGAUUCAUCAUGUUUUCACUUAA
Gorilla gorilla gorilla (western lowland gorilla) is the source of this 2825-nucleotide long non-coding RNA. RefSeq lists it as uncharacterized. The transcript has 4 exons. Lineage: Eukaryota; Metazoa; Chordata; Mammalia; Primates; Hominidae. The record is from RefSeq and is a predicted model, not a curated record.